Molecule: ribosomal RNA, 521 nt
Filed under: uncultured bacterium
Lineage: Bacteria
Description: bacterial SSU rRNA
Rfam family: Bacterial small subunit ribosomal RNA
Source: RNAcentral
UGGGGAAUAUUGGACAAUGGGCGCAAGCCUGAUCCAGCCAUGCCGCGUGAGUGAUGAAGGCCUUCGGGUUGUAAAGCUCUUUCGCCUGCGACGAUGGUGACGGUAGUGGGAGAAGAAGCCCCGGCUAACUUCGUGCCAGCAGCCGCGGUAAUACGAAGGGGGCUAGCGUUGUUCGGAGUUACUGGGCGUAAAGGGCGCGUAGGCGGCUGUCCAAGUCGGGUGUGAAAGCCCGGGGCUCAACCCCGGAAUAGCACUCGAGACUGGGCGGCUUGAGGACGGGAGAGGAUGGUGGAAUUCCCAGUGUAGAGGUGAAAUUCGUAGAUAUUGGGAAGAACACCGGUGGCGAAGGCGGCCAUCUGGACCGUUUCUGACGCUGAGGCGCGAAAGCGUGGGGGGCAAACAGGAUUAGAUACCCUGGUAGUCCACGCCGUAAACGAUGAGUGCUAGACGUUGGGGCGCGUAGCGCUUCGGUGUCGCAGCUAACGCAUUAAGCACUCCGCCUGGGGAGUACGGCCGCAAGG